UUGAUUCCAUUGUAAGUCGCUUUGGAUAAAAAGCGUCUGCUAAAUGACAAGUAAUAUUGUCAUGGUGGCCAUGCAAGCCUUUCUGUCUUCCAAUUGUCCACAUCAGCCACUGAAAAUCUUAUGCUACAGCAACUUAUUGGUCUGAUUAAAUGUUUCAGUUCAGUCUCUAACUUUUCCACUACUUGUACUUGUAACAGUCUCAGUAAAUUGAAGAAUUUUCAGCGUCUCUGUCUCAUCUGCCCAUGCACAGGAAACUGUCAUAUGUCUGGCCAGAUAAAGGCCCAUUUCACAACAAUAGAGUUUAGAGCAGCAUGUCUGACCUGCUCUGAUGCACCGUUCAUUUACAUGGAGGAAGCUUGACAAUUCCAUGGCCAGAGAACAUUUGCAUUAUGGUUUCAUCUAUAGACAGCAGUUGAUGUCUGAUCCUGACAGCCAAUCACUGCCCAGAUAGCUGUUUGGGACUGAGUAUGUAUACUCCUCACUGAAGGUUCACAGCCAGCUUUGUUGCAACAUUUUGACCACUGCAAGUUUUUGGAGAAGGAAACUCAACCUUGUACUACAUCUUCUCGAUUUCUGUCUUCAAUCUUUAAAACAAGAGGUAAGUUCCUAAUCUUUACAAAUCCCCCAUGGAUCUGUCAAUUCAGUAUGUUGGUAUAACUAUGUUAAGAAAUACUGGUAGCAUCAUGGCCUUUCCCAGAGUUACUCAAAAGAUCAUGUUUUUCAUCAUAUAUCAUUUUAAAUAAAAUUGUUGUUGGUCAAGACAGUUUAUCAUGUAUGUUCUCAAAUGUUUCCCAGAAAAAUGACAUCCACGAGGGUAUAUCCUGAAAAGGAAGCCCUGCACUUCAUUGCCUCUGGACAAGAUAAAGACACAUUUCAGAAGAAAUUCAUCAACAAGGAAAAAAGUUAUGGUGCCACCACAAUUAUUGAGCCAGGAGAAUUCUUGCUCGAGUAAAUCAGAAGACUUAUCUCCAGCUCAAACUAAUCAGAUGCAGAUGCAGCAUUUUUGUAUUUAUACUCUUUCAGGGACAGACCUUCUGUGUUGAUGGCAGUAAGGAAACAGCAAGACUGGGGAGAUUCAUAAAUGACGAUCACAUCUCACCAAACUGCAAAAUAAAACUAGAAAAGCACAAGCAGUCCAGGAACAAACUGACCAAUGAGAUCAGGGUAGCUAAGAGGAGCUACAGGGAGAGCUAAAUAAUAGCUUUCAGCUAACCAACAACAGUCUGGUGAGGCUUUCAGCAUAUUACCAACUACAUGAGCCCAUCCCCCCAGCAGGUUUUAAAAGCAGCACUUCACACCUCCCAACAGCUCACCUUCUCUACUCACCUCCACAAAAGGAAUGCGUGCAGCCCCCACCCCUGUCCCCUCUGACCCCCCAUCGACACUAAAGAUCUGUGAGGAGAAUGUGUGCAGACUCUUCCUGAGGUUGAAAACCAGGAAGGCUCAAGAGCUGUGCACUCCUGCUUCAAAUGCUCCACUAUCAUCCCGGUCCCUAAGAAGCCUGACAUCACACGAUUAAAUACUACAGGCCUGUCACUCUGACAUCUGUGGUCAUGAAAUCCUUUGAGAGACUGGUGUUGAGCCACCUGAAGGUCAUCAGUGAGCCCCUGCUGGACCCCCUGCAGUUUGCUUACUGGGCCAACGGGUCGGCCGAUGAUGUAAUCAACAUAUCACUGCACUUUAUCCUGCAUCAUCCUUGAUCAACCAGGGAAGUAUGCCUGGAUCCUGUUCAUGGACUUCAGCUCCGCCUCUAACACUGCCACUUAUGUGAUUUCAGGAAAGUCAGAAGAUGCACAUUCUAGAGGAAGGGCUGAUAUCCAAAACAGUCUGAAGAAAAGGCUGCUACCUCAAGAAAGGCACUUGGGGACAUAAAAAAGGGGAAAUUCAGAAAUCCCUGGUACCAACUCGAGAGACUUAUCAUUGAACACCAUUUUAAGGACUUCCUUCAAAAAAUGAAUGAAAAUCAGAUUCUCCGGGAUAAAGGAAGAGACUGGAAGGCAAUUAAAUACUUUGUGCACAAUAAGAUAAUAGCUAUCAAGAGAAAUUUGUGUCAAAUGUAUUAGCUUGCAAUAUGGAUCAUCAACAUUCUGUGACUGAAUUCUGGGAGUUCACAUCAUGGAUUAUCAGUGUUAUGUGCAUAAAUACUGGGAACUUGCAGUACAGAGCAUCAGUGUUAAGUGUCACAACACAUAUAGUUCAUGUAAACAGAUCAUCAACGUAAGGGUCAUAACAUUGGUAGUUCACAUAAACGGAGCAUCAGUGAAUGGCUCUUAUAGUGAGCUUAUGAGAUUUUCCAUGUGAUAUGUCUUUAUAGUAUAUCAUGUAGAAAGUGUCUAUAUAGGUUUUAAUGUAAAUAAAUAAACUUUGGCUUUGAAACAA
This is a long non-coding RNA of Solea senegalensis (Senegalese sole), 2379 nucleotides long. RefSeq lists it as uncharacterized. NCBI's taxonomy places the organism in Eukaryota, Metazoa, Chordata, Actinopteri, Pleuronectiformes, Soleidae. The transcript is spliced from 5 exons. The record is from RefSeq and is a predicted model, not a curated record.